GUGAAUCAUCGAAUUUUUGAACGCAAAUUGCACUUUCUGGUAUUCCGGAAAGUAUGCCUGUUUGAGGGUCAGUUAAAUAAAAAUCGGUGUUGUUGCUGCUUUUCGUGGUGACGCGUCGGAUUUAGUUUUCUUUACCUUGGUUUAGUGUACUUAAAAUUUUGAAUGUUUUUGGAAGUAUUUUAAAUUUUUUAGUAAGUUUGAGAUUUUG
This 208-nucleotide unclassified non-coding RNA is filed under the name Glomeromycotina sp. RNAcentral describes it as "partial contains 5.8S ribosomal RNA and internal transcribed spacer 2". The stretch from base 1 to 71 matches the Rfam family "5.8S ribosomal RNA", at positions 84 to 154 of the family's 154-position model. The record is from RNAcentral. Lineage: Eukaryota; Fungi; Glomeromycota.